Hemiscyllium ocellatum (epaulette shark) is the source of this 810-nucleotide long non-coding RNA. RefSeq lists it as uncharacterized. The transcript has 4 exons. Lineage: Eukaryota; Metazoa; Chordata; Chondrichthyes; Orectolobiformes; Hemiscylliidae. The record is from RefSeq and is a predicted model, not a curated record.
AGCAGCUUCAGCUCAAGAGAACCUGCAGAUGAAAACAUUAAUCAACUGUUCAAAAUUACAAGGAUAUUUUUCUGUAUAAGUGCAUUGCUGACAUUCGAGAAGACAAAUGGUUAAUAGUGUGCAAAUGUUUGAGAAAUAGGAAGAAUUAAAAGCUUUCCCAUCCCCAGCUCUAAAAUGUCUUGCCAUCCAGCUUCGAUCACCAAGGUCAGGAGAAAGCUACUCUCUCAGUCAAGUCAUUGGAGGGAAGUUGGAUGGACAUGAUUAAUGGUACAAUUUUGCAUCACUAUGUCGUCUGCCCCAUGAGCGUCGAAAUAGCCACUGGUCAUAUUGGUCUUGGACAACAUUUAGAUAUUUCAGACAAUCACCAAUGAAUAACAUUGGGACUCAUGGUCAAGUUCAUAAGUGUCUUAAAGCUUUGACGCCUAUGGCUCCUAACCAUCCAGAUUUACCUGACAACUGCUAUCAACAAUUCACAGUCAGUGAAUAUCAUCCUUGUCAAACUAGCAACUAACCUCCACACUUUGAAUCAGCUUCACUGGCAAAAUGUUGAUGGGACCUAAGGCCUCCAGCUCUGCUGUACACUCCUACCUGGACUAAAUAAAUUUCAAUCCUUUGGUAUUUUCUACAGUAUUGUUAUACUUUCGCUAUUGUUAAUUAACAAUCCAAUGAAUUCAACAAUCCAACAUUCCUGAUGAAGGGUUCUGGCUCGAAACGUCGAUUUUCCUGCUCCUAGGAUGCUGCCUGACCUGCUGUGCUUUUCCAGCAACAUACUCUCAACUCUGAUCUCCACCAUCUGCAGACCUCACUGUC